AAUCAACUUGUAAUCCUUGGUAAUCCAAGUAAUCCAGCUUGUAAUAUCCUUGGUAAUCCAAGUAAUCCAGCUUGUAAUCCCUGGUAAUCUAAAGAAUCUACCUAUAAUCUUGGUAAUCCACUCAUAAUCUUGGAAUUCUCCUGAGAUUUUCUUCCCGUUGCGAACCCCUCGCUUUUAGAAAAAGGGAAUGAUCUUGCUGUAUUAAAUUAACCCCUCUUGAAUGGACAGUGGGUGUGGUCCUGAUGAUCAAUGGGUUAAAAUAAUAAUUGAUUUAGAUCUAAUCGUUGUUACAAUGGCAAUUAUUAUGCAUUAGACUAGAUAUUAUUAUUAUUAAAAAAAAAUUACAUAUCAAUAUAAUUCUAAUACUCAAUGAA
Molecule: long non-coding RNA, 374 nt
Organism: Amphimedon queenslandica
Lineage: Eukaryota; Metazoa; Porifera; Demospongiae; Haplosclerida; Niphatidae
Exons: 2
Source: RefSeq, a predicted model, not a curated record